RNAcentral lists this ribosomal RNA (476 nucleotides) under uncultured bacterium. RNAcentral describes it as "bacterial SSU rRNA". It matches the Rfam family "Bacterial small subunit ribosomal RNA", at positions 28 to 507 of the family's 1533-position model. The record is from RNAcentral.
GACGAACGCUGGCGGCGUGCCUAACACAUGCAAGUCGAGCGGGGUUGAGGCGAGAGGUAACUCGAACUUCUACCUAGCGGCGGACGGGUGAGUAACGCGUGGGCAACCUGCCUCAAGGUUUGGGAUAACAGCCCGAAAGGGCUGCUAAUACCGGAUAUGCCUAUGGCCUCGCAUGGGGCUAUGAGCAAAGGGGAAACCCGCCUUGAGAUGGGCCCGCGUCCCAUCAGCUAGUUGGUGAGGUAACAGCUCACCAAGGCGACGACGGGUAGCCGGCCUGAGAGGGUGACCGGCCACACUGGGACUGAGACACGGCCCAGACUCCUACGGGGGGGCAGCAGUGGGGGAUCUUGCACAAUGGGCGAAAGCCUGAUGCAGCGACGCCGCGUGAGCGAAGAAGGCCUUCGGGUUGUAAAGCUCUGUCUGGAGGGACGAACAAAAUGACGGUACCUCCGGAGGAAGCCACGGCUAACUACGUG